UUGAGGUAACAGGACAGAGCAGGGGAACAGGCAGAGCAUGGAUGGAGUCAUCAACACAAUAGAGCUAAGAAAGUGAGAGUGACAGAGAAAUCAUUUGUUGUGGUUCUGCUCAUGCACUGCCUCUUCCCUGGCUCUGUCUCCUUUUCUCCUU
Molecule: non-coding RNA, 151 nt
Organism: Vigna radiata var. radiata (mung bean)
Lineage: Eukaryota; Viridiplantae; Streptophyta; Magnoliopsida; Fabales; Fabaceae
Source: Rfam